This 21-nucleotide microRNA is filed under the name Panagrellus redivivus. RNAcentral describes it as "prd-miR-234-3p". Its record names the gene prd-miR-234-3p. Lineage: Eukaryota; Metazoa; Nematoda; Chromadorea; Rhabditida; Panagrolaimidae. RNAcentral also lists the same sequence under 2 other names. The record is from miRBase by way of RNAcentral.
UUAUUGCUUGAGAAUACAAAU